This 253-nucleotide ribosomal RNA is filed under the name uncultured bacterium. Its description in RNAcentral is "partial 16S ribosomal RNA". It matches the Rfam family "Bacterial small subunit ribosomal RNA", at positions 524 to 776 of the family's 1533-position model. The record is from RNAcentral.
UACAGAGGGGGCAAGCGUUAUUCGGAAUUAUUGGGCGUAAAGGGCGCGUAGGCGGCCUGGCAAGUGACGGGUGAAAUCCCUCGGCUUAACCGAGGAACUGCCUGUCAGACUGCUGGGCUUGAGACCGGGAGAGGUGAGUGGAAUUCCCAGUGUAGCGGUGAAAUGCGUAGAUAUUGGGAGGAACACCAGUGGCGAAGGCGGCUCACUGGACCGGUACUGACGCUGAUGCGCGAAAGCGUGGGGAGCAAACAGG